CGAGUGUAGAGGUGAAAUUCGUAGAUAUUCGGUGGAACACCAGUGGCGAAGGCGACUAACUGGACUGAUACUGACGCUGAGGUGCGAAAGUGUGGGGAGCAAACAGGAUUAGAUACCCUGGUAGUCCACACCGUAAACGAUGAGUGCUAGUUGUCUGCAGGCAUGCCUGUAGGUGACGCAGCUAACGCAUUAAGCACUCCGCCUGGGGAGUACGGCCGCAAGGUUAAAACUCAAAGAAAUUGACGGGGGCCCGCACAAGCGGCGGAGCAUGUGGAUUAAUUCGAUGCAACGCGAAGAACCUUACCUGGGCUUGACAUACACUGGAUCGCUGCAGAGAUGUAGUUUCCCUUUGUGGCUGGUGUACAGGUGGUGCAUGGUUGUCGUCAGCUCGUGUCGUGAGAUGUUGGGUUAAG
This 413-nucleotide ribosomal RNA is filed under the name Thalassiosira minuscula. RNAcentral's name for it is "partial Bacterial small subunit ribosomal RNA". It matches the Rfam family "Bacterial small subunit ribosomal RNA", at positions 670 to 1084 of the family's 1533-position model. Lineage: Eukaryota; Bacillariophyta; Thalassiosirophyceae; Thalassiosirales; Thalassiosiraceae. The record is from RNAcentral.